ACAUCACAGGAGACGGACCAUCAGUGACGGACUCGACAACAAAAAAAAUCAUCAUCAUCAUCUUCUUCAAUCGACAUCCGUCACAACCUCCCCCACUAUGUCCACAUCUCCGCCUUAAACCCUGUCAUCACCUGUACACCAAACAGACCCUUCAACCACCCCCGCCACCUUGAUAACCACCGAAAAAACCCCAGUAAAAAACAGCAGCCAAAAAGACCCUUAAACCACCCCCGCCACCUUGAUCGUUUAAGCAAGUUUUGGAGUACGUUGUAAGCGUACACGACUUUUUCGAGAGUCAUUCAAAUUUUUAAGGAGGGGGUAUUUUAAGCGUGGAGUAGGCGCAAAACAAAGCAGGCGCUAUCGACCACAUGCCUCCUCGAACAACCUUGUUAAUAAGCCCUAACCUAGGUCAGCCUUUAGGACACUCUUAUGUGUAUCAUGUCAUUUGGACCUAGCAAGACUCGAUCCUUGGUAUCAUGUUUCUUUGUAGGAGACUUGCCCCAAAAUGAUGUCAAACUGGGCCGGCGACCUAAAAAGACAUUAAUCAUCCCUAUGUGCUACUUGUUCAUCUUGAGGGUAAAUGGCUCAUUGGCGGAUUGAUUUGGUGAAGUGUGUUUGAAAAAACAAAUUGAUGAGAAAAUGAGAAGACUUGAAAGUAGUAAGUGAGUGUUGAAAAGAAAUUUCGUAGCUUUAGGAGUUUUAGCGUCUAUAUAAAAGAAAAAAAAUUCCCUUUCUUUCA
Molecule: long non-coding RNA, 739 nt
Organism: Lycium barbarum (goji berry)
Lineage: Eukaryota; Viridiplantae; Streptophyta; Magnoliopsida; Solanales; Solanaceae
Exons: 2
Source: RefSeq, a predicted model, not a curated record